CGGAUUAAUUCGAUGACAACGCGAAGAACCUUACCAAGGCUUGACAUACACCGGUAACGCCCAGAGAUGGGUGCCCCUUUGUGGUCGGUGGACAGGUGGUGCAUGGUUGUCGUCAGCUCGUGUCGUGAGAUGUUGGGUUAAGUCCCGCAACGAGCGCAACCCCUACGUUUAGUUGCUAACAGGUGAAGCUGAGCACUCUAGACGAACUGCCGUUGACAAAACGGAGGAAGUGGGAUGACGUCAAAUCAUCAUGCCCCUUAUGUUCUGGGCUACACACGUGCUACAAUGGCCGGUACAGACGGAGGCGAAGCCGCGAGGCGGAGCAAAUCCGAAAAAGCCGGUCUCAGUUCGGAUUGCAGGCUGCAAUUCGCCUGCAUGAAGUCGGAAUCGCUAGUAAUCGCAGGUCAGCAUACUGCGGUGAAUACGGUUCCCGGGCCUU
This 439-nucleotide ribosomal RNA is filed under the name uncultured Pelotomaculum sp. RNAcentral describes it as "bacterial SSU rRNA". It matches the Rfam family "Bacterial small subunit ribosomal RNA", at positions 942 to 1382 of the family's 1533-position model. Lineage: Bacteria; Bacillati; Bacillota; Clostridia; Eubacteriales; Desulfotomaculaceae. The record is from RNAcentral.